RNAcentral lists this long non-coding RNA (1052 nucleotides) under Hordeum vulgare. RNAcentral describes it as "long non-coding RNA (HVUL_LNC014264)". The record is from RNAcentral. Lineage: Eukaryota; Viridiplantae; Streptophyta; Magnoliopsida; Poales; Poaceae.
CGACGGCGCCGUCGUCCGCUCCUCCGCGACCUCUCUCCUUCACCGACGGCGACGAGUCGACGACGACGUCUCCUCUUAGUCCAAGCUGGAGGAUCGUCCUCACGUCGGGGUCGCAACAAGACCACGCCGUCGAUCCCGCCUCCCCUGGUUCCUCGCCGAGCGCCACGAGGAGGAAGAGGUAACCACGCCUCCUUCCCUCACUCCCUCACUCCCUGGUUGCUCUAUUCUCAAUCCUCGUGGUCGUGGGCUCGUGGCUGGUGGUGGACCAACGACAUCGGCAUGUGCUGAUGUGCGUGGCGAGAAGCCUCUACGACGGGAGCGCGUGGAUGUCCGGGCGGUUCGCGCCGACACUACCGGCGAUCUCGAUGAACGGCACGACGUGCUGAGGAUGGCGCGUGAGGAGCGGGUGGUCGUCGAAGCCGUAGCGGGAUCUGUUGGUGAUGGUGAAGGCGAGGGCUUUGAUCCAGGUGGUGCCGCACUUGGGCUGCGUGGCGAGGAUGAUGUUGUCGGCGCGGGGCACGAAGGCCUGCUUGACGAUGAGGGUUCGCUCCAGUAGCCUCGGCCUGAACCAGUACUUCUUGUAUUGGACGAGUGGUUCAGAGUUCAGACCACCCCUCUCUUGCUGGAACUGGUGGUGGUGUCACUGUCAUGUCUGGUGGCUGGUGCUAUCAUCGUAGAUUCGUAGUCAUGUAGAAAUCUCUUUGGGUACAAUCCGGUGCUGGUGGUGUACUGUUAUUGAACUGCUGGUGCUGGUGGUAUAGAAUCUGGUGAUGGUGGAUCUGGUGAUGGUGGAUCCGUGGAUGGGCUGCUGGUUUAAUUGUUUAUGAAGAAAUCUGGUCAUUGCUCUGUUUUUUAUGAAAAAAAUCUGUUUUUCUGAAGAAAAUGUUGUUGCUUUAAUUGUUUCAGUAGCCAAAUAUGCCGCUGCUACCUAUAAUUUUAGCUGCCGCUGCUGCUGUAAUUUAUGUGCUAACUAACUGCUAUGAUGUGGGUUUUUUUUGUAGGGAAUGGUGAAGGGAAAAGGAGCAGCUGGUAAGGAGAAGGAGAAUGGAAAG